RNAcentral lists this ribosomal RNA (253 nucleotides) under uncultured bacterium. Its description in RNAcentral is "partial 16S ribosomal RNA". It matches the Rfam family "Bacterial small subunit ribosomal RNA", at positions 524 to 776 of the family's 1533-position model. The record is from RNAcentral.
UACGGGGGGUGCAAACGUUAUUCGGAAUCAUUGGGCGUAAAGGGCGCGUAGGCGGUCUUUUAAGUCAGAUGUGAAAGCCCCCGGCUUAACCGAGGAAGUGCAUUUGAUACUAAGAGACUUGAGUAUGGGAGAGGGAAGCGGAAUUCCUGGUGUAGCGGUGAAAUGCGUAGAUAUCAGGAGGAACACCGGUGGCGAAGGCGGCUUCCUGGACCAAUACUGACGCUGAGGCGCGAAGGCGUGGGGAGCAAACAGG